Molecule: long non-coding RNA, 703 nt
Filed under: Homo sapiens (human)
Lineage: Eukaryota; Metazoa; Chordata; Mammalia; Primates; Hominidae
Description: HSALNT0359893
Source: RNAcentral
UUUGCCUUUUCAGAAACUUCUAGCUGCCUUCUUGUGCCUCUCUCCCACUCUCCUGGAGUUCUCCCAGAACAAUAUGCUGAGAACAUUGAUAAGGUUGGAAUUGCCCAAAGGCCUUGCACCAGGAGCAAAUACUUUGCUCCUAAAGCAGACAUUCAGAUCUGGAAAAUCUGAAAGAGAACAUGGGCAUGAUUCCCUUCAUUUUAAAAAUCAUCUUGAAUCCUGAGGCACAUUUGAAAUGCAAGAUAUGUGAGGUGAAUGGCAGAAAAGAAAAAUACCAGAAGACUGAAUUUCCAAUAAAUCAAAGCAACCGAAUUUCAAUUUACAAUAGUGGAACUCAGGACAUAUUUUUUCCACCAAAACAUCCAACCAAGUAUGAGUGAGUGGCCUGGCCUUAACACAUUGUUUGUUUGAACAACAAUUUGAAGGAAAGUCGAUAUGUUGAUAAUAUAAUAUAGAGUAACUUCAGAAGGCCUUAUAAAGAAUGUGCAGUAGGAAGAAGAAAAUCUGGAACCCUGAGUUAGCCUGGUGGGAAAGUCAGCCUCAGCUGAAGCCUCAACAGGCAGCUUGGAUGCUUCUUGACAUCUACAUUAAGGUGAGUUCAAAGUGGGCAGCCCAUCAGUGAUUAUCUGUAAUACCUCUGGGGAGUUUCACAUUUCACUCUGUAUUCGCUUCUCGCUGGCUGUCAUAAUAAAGUCUUUCCAAA